GGGGAAUAUUGGACAAUGGGCGAAAGCCUGAUCCAGCCAUGCCGCGUGGGUGAAGAAGGCCCUAGGGUUGUAAAGCCCUUUCGGCGGGGACGAUGAUGACGGUACCCGCAGAAGAAGCCCCGGCUAACUUCGUGCCAGCAGCCGCGGUAAUACGAAGGGGGCUAGCGUUGCUCGGAAUUACUGGGCGUAAAGGGCGCGUAGGCUGUCAUGUUAGUCGGGUGUGAAACCCCCGGGCUCAACCUGGGAACUGCACUCGAUACGGCAUGGCUUGAGGACGAGAGAGGGUGGUGGAACUCCCAGUGUAGAGGUGAAAUUCGUAGAUAUUGGGAAGAACACCAGUGGCGAAGGCGGCCACCUGGCUCGUUCCUGACGCUGAGGCGCGAAAGCGUGGGGAGCAAACAGGAUUAGAUACCCUGGUAGUCCACGCCGUAAACGAUGUGCGCUGGAUGUUGGGUGACAUAGUCACUCAGUGUCGAAGCUAACGCGAUAAGCGCACCGACUGGGGAGUACGGCCGCAAAGUUGAAACUCGAAGGAAUGAAGGGGCCCGCACAGCGGUGGA
This 560-nucleotide ribosomal RNA is filed under the name uncultured Pseudomonadota bacterium. RNAcentral's name for it is "bacterial SSU rRNA". It matches the Rfam family "Bacterial small subunit ribosomal RNA", at positions 356 to 936 of the family's 1533-position model. The record is from RNAcentral. Lineage: Bacteria; Pseudomonadati; Pseudomonadota.